RNAcentral lists this unclassified non-coding RNA (1456 nucleotides) under Leishmania donovani. RNAcentral describes it as "gene:LdHU3.04.0880(CDS-product:hypothetical_prote in_conserved)". Lineage: Eukaryota; Euglenozoa; Kinetoplastea; Trypanosomatida; Trypanosomatidae. The record is from RNAcentral.
GCACACACGCACACCCUCCCUCCCCCUCCCGGAUAAAGGUAUACAGGUGAUCAGAAAGCGACAGAAGAGGUUGGACCGCUCGCACAGGCUUACGUAUCACUGCGACCACCACCCUCGGCGUGCUUCGAGGUCGGAUAUCACGUCCUUUACACACCCUUUCGCCCUCUCUGUCUGCGUGCGUGGCGCUUCACGGAGGUGGGUGAGCGUUGGCUGCGCGUAGCAGUGUUGUCCAUUCCACCUCACCCCACCCUUGUACACUGUCGUGCAACGAAGCACCUUGGCAUCUCCCCGCUUUCUCUCUCACGGUCUCUGCCCCCCUCUGCCAGUCCUGCGUCUCCUCCUCCGCGCACGACGAGCACACGCGCACGCGACAUCCGUUGCCGCGGGGCGCCUACCGCUUUUUUUGGAUCCCUCUUUCCCUGCACGCAUCCGUCAUCCUCCAUCACGCAGACACGCCGGCUGCACACAGAGGGAAACUGCGCGCACCCGUGCUCUGGGAGGAUGCCUCGUCGUCGUGGUGGCCGCCAAGGCUCCUUCAGUGGAUUUCGGUCCGAGCGCCGCCCCGGUACCACGUCGCACCCGCAGCAGCCGAACGGCGUCACGAACAUCUACGUUCAGCGUCCGAUGGCCGGCGGUGGCGGUGGCGGCAUCCUCGGCACGAUGGCGGCCGUCGCCGGGGGCAGCAUGCUGGGCCACGGCAUCAGCAACUACCUCUACGGCCACAGCAACCAGGCGCCGACGCAGCCGGCAGAGGCGCAGCAGCUGGCGCAGGCCGCGCAGCAGGAGGGGCACGUCUGCACGCCGCAACUUGUGGGCUACUCCAAGUGCCUUGAGGCGAACCCCGAGUCCGCCGACAGCUGCAAGUGGGCGUGGGACUACUUCACGCAGUGCCAGAGAGAGCACCCGAUGCAGCCUCCGCAGUAGCAUUGAAAGGGACAUCCUGUACAGCGAUACCGGAGAGACAGCGCGAAAACCACAGGCACACACCGGUCCCGCCGGCCGCCCUCCCCCUUCUUCUUGCGUUGCUGCACACAGUCGCCACCAGCCGUCGCCAACGCGGCAUGUGUGGCCGUAGUCGUAUCCGUCACUCCUCUCUCCUCAGCCUCCUGAGCCGCCUCGGUCUCCACAAGUCUCUUUCCACACCUGUGCCCGCUGCUUGUCAAGAUCCCCACUGCUUCUAUACUCUCGUGUGUGCGCGUGUGUGUCCGCGCUGAUGCGCUGCACGCUGCCGCACCUUCGGCGGUCUCCCUCCCCACCGCGUGUCACCGUCCACCUUCACGUGGCAACACAUCUUUAUUCUCAUUAUGGUCCUAUGCUUCCCUUGGUAUACCACACACACACACACACACACACAACGCGACCGCAUUCCCCUCCCGCCGCCACCGCCACCUCUUGUCGUCGUUACCUCCGACGCUUUCUAUUUUACUCGGUGCAGCACCUCAUACAUGCAUGCCAG